CCUACGGGUGGCAGCAGUGGGGAAUAUUGCACAAUGGGGGAAACCCUGAUGCAGCGACGCCGCGUGUAGGAAGACGGUCCUCUGGAUUGUAAACCACUGUCCCCAGGGACUAAGAUGACGGUACCUGGGGAGGAAGCUCCGGCUAACUACGUGCCAGCAGCCGCGGUAAUACGUCGGGAGCGAGCUUUGUCCGGAAUUACUGGGUGUAACGGGAGCGUAGGCGGGACUGCAAGUUGGGUGUUAAAUCUACCGGCUCAACCGGUAGCCGCACUCAAAACUGCAGUUCUUGAGUGAAGUAGAGGAAGGCGGAAUGCCUAGUGUAGCGGUGAAAUGCGUAGAUAUUAGGAGGAACACCAGUGGCGAAGGCGGCUUGCUGGGCUGUUACUGACGCUGAGGCUCGAAAGUGUGGGGAGCAAACAGGAUUAGAUACCCCGGUAGUC
RNAcentral lists this ribosomal RNA (440 nucleotides) under uncultured bacterium. RNAcentral describes it as "partial 16S ribosomal RNA". It matches the Rfam family "Bacterial small subunit ribosomal RNA", at positions 338 to 795 of the family's 1533-position model. The record is from RNAcentral.